This 1099-nucleotide small RNA is filed under the name Pongo abelii (Sumatran orangutan). RNAcentral describes it as "retained intron". Lineage: Eukaryota; Metazoa; Chordata; Mammalia; Primates; Hominidae. The record is from RNAcentral.
GGGUGGUGGUGGCCUGGAGACCCCCAAAGGGAAAGUGUCCCCUGCGCUGCUCCUGCUCCAAAGACAGCGCCCUGUGUGAGGGCUCCCCGGACCUGCCUGUCAGCUUCUCUCCGACCCUGCUGUCACUCUCACUCGUCAGAACAGGAGUCACCCAGCUGAAGGCCGGCAGCUUCCUGAGAAUUCCGUCUCUGCACCUGCUGUGAGUGGGGCCUGGCUGGGCCGACAACCAGCUCAAGGGAGUGGGCGUUUAUGCACAUGUGUGGGAGUGUAUGCUCACACAGAUGUCAGGUGGGCGUUGAUGCACGUGUGUGGGGGUGUGUGCACACGUGUGUGCAAAAGCAUUUGUGUCCAUCCACAUACUCACACUUGUGUGCCCAUGUCCAUAUAGGCUGAGGGUGGAGGCCAGGGUUAAAAUGUCAGGUGGGGGCUGCAAUUCUGGAAAAAUUUCUUUCUUGCCCCCUUGUCAGCCUCUUCACCUCCAACUCCUUCUCCGUGAUUGAGGAUGAUGCAUUUGCGGGCCUGUCCCACCUGCAGUACCUCUUCAUCGAGGACAAUGAGAUUGGCUCCAUCUCUAAGAAUGCCCUCAGAGGACUUCGCUCACUUACACACCUAAGCCUGGCCAAUAACCAUCUGGAGACCCUCCCCAGAUUCCUGUUCCGAGGCCUGGACACCCUUACUCACGUGGACCUCCGCGGGAACCCGUUCCAGUGUGACUGCCGCAUCCUCUGGCUCCUGCAGUGGAUGCCCACCGUGAACGCCAGCGUGGGGACCGGCGCCUGUGCGGGCCCCGCCGCCCUGAGCCACUUGCAGCUCCACCACCUCGACCCCAAGACCUUCAAGUGCAGAGCCAUAGGUGGGGGGCUUUCCCGAUGGGGUGGGAGGCGGAGAUCUGGGGAAUGGCUGCCAGGGCCAAGGGGCUCGCCUCACUCCCUGCCCUGCCAUUUCCCGGAGUGGGAAGACCCUGAGCAAGCAGCACUGCCUUCCUGAGCCCCAGUUUUCUCAUCUGUAAAGUGGGGGUAAUAAACAGUGAUAUAGGAGUGCCGUGGGAAUUCAAUGAUACAUCUUCACGUGUUCGGCAUUUGGCGCCGGGCCUGGGACA